Molecule: ribosomal RNA, 483 nt
Filed under: uncultured bacterium
Lineage: Bacteria
Description: partial 16S ribosomal RNA
Rfam family: Bacterial small subunit ribosomal RNA
Source: RNAcentral
AUUGAACGCUGGCGGCAGGCCUAACACAUGCAAGUCGAGCGGAUGAAGGGAGCUUGCUCCUGGAUUCAGCGGCGGACGGGUGAGUAAUGCCUAGGAAUCUGCCUGGUAGUGGGGGAUAACGUCCGGAACGGGCGCUAAUACCGCAUACGUCCUGAGGGAGAAAGUGGGGGAUCUUCGGACCUCACGCUAUCAGAUGAGCCUAGGUCGGAUUAGCUAGUUGGUGGGGUAAAGGCCUACCAAGGCGACGAUCCGUAACUGGUCUGAGAGGAUGAUCAGUCACACUGGAACUGAGACACGGUCCAGACUCCUACGGGAGGCAGCAGUGGGGAAUAUUGGACAAUGGGCGAAAGCCUGAUCCAGCCAUGCCGCGUGUGUGAAGAAGGUCUUCGGAUUGUAAAGCACUUUAAGUUGGGAGGAAGGGCAGUAGGUUAAUACCUUGCUGUUUUGACGUUACCAACAGAAUAAGCACCGGCUAACUUCGUG